RNAcentral lists this ribosomal RNA (253 nucleotides) under uncultured bacterium. RNAcentral describes it as "partial 16S ribosomal RNA". It matches the Rfam family "Bacterial small subunit ribosomal RNA", at positions 524 to 776 of the family's 1533-position model. The record is from RNAcentral.
UACGGAGGGGGCAAGCGUUAUUCGGAAUUAUUGGGCGUAAAGGGCGCGUAGGCGGCUAGAUGUGUCAAAGGUGAAAUCCCUCGGCUCAACUGAGGAACUGCCUUUGAAACUGUCUGGCUUGAGGCCGGGAGAGGGUAGCGGAAUUCCCAGUGUAGCGGUGAAAUGCGUAGAUAUUGGGAGGAAUACCGGUGGCGAAGGCGGCAUCCUGGACCGGCAUUGACGCUGAGGAGCGAAAGCUAGGGGAGCAAACGGG